Molecule: ribosomal RNA, 1185 nt
Filed under: Daldinia eschscholtzii
Lineage: Eukaryota; Fungi; Ascomycota; Sordariomycetes; Xylariales; Hypoxylaceae
Description: partial 18S ribosomal RNA
Rfam family: Eukaryotic small subunit ribosomal RNA
Source: RNAcentral
UAUACUGCGAACUGCGAAUGGCUCAUUAAAUCAGUUAUCGUUUAUUUGAUAGUACCUUACUACUUGGAUAACCGUGGUAAUUCUAGAGCUAAUACAUGCUAAAAACCCCGACUCACGGAGGGGUGUAUUUAUUAGAUUAAAAACCAAUGCCCUUCGGGGCUCUUUGGUGAUUCAUAAUAACUUCUCGAAUCGCAUGGCCUUGCGCCGGCGAUGGUUCAUUCAAAUUUCUGCCCUAUCAACUUUCGAUGGCAGGGUCUUGGCCUGCCAUGGUUACAACGGGUAACGGAGGGUUAGGGCUCGACCCCGGAGAAGGAGCCUGAGAAACGGCUACUACAUCCAAGGAAGGCAGCAGGCGCGCAAAUUACCCAAUCCCGAUACGGGGAGGUAGUGACAAUAAAUACUGAUACAGGGCUCUUUUGGGUCUUGUAAUUGGAAUGAGUACAAUUUAAAUCCCUUAACGAGGAACAAUUGGAGGGCAAGUCUGGUAAGCAAUCUGCUGGUGCCAGAUAGAGUGAGGCCCUACAACUCACUAGUCGAACGCAUCCGUCAGUGGCGGGUGGAUGCCGGCGAGACAACCUGGAUCGGGGAAGGCUAAGGGCCCCAGGCCUAUGCUAAUCCCGAGCGGAGCUACCCUGUAGCCCGUGUAGAGCGCGGAAAGGUGUCGGUCUUGCGAGCGCAAGGCUUAAGGGACGUGCCAGACCCUGCAGAAAUGCAGGCCAGCUACUCGAGCGCCCGCCGCGCGAAGGUAGUUGGGCGCUAUAGCGUGCUAUAGCGUCGUAUAGUGGGUAACUAAAACGGCCAGCAGCCGCGGUAAUUCCAGCUCCAAUAGCGUAUAUUAAAGUUGUUGCAGUUAAAAAGCUCGUAGUUGAACCUUGGGCCUGGCUGGCCGGUCCGCCUCACCGCGUGCACUGGUUCGGCCGGGCCUUUCCCUCUGGGGAACCCCAUGCCCUUCACUGGGUGUGGCGGGGAACCAGGACUUUUACUGUGAAAAAAUUAAAGUGUUCAAAGCAGGCCUAUGCUCGAAUACAUCAGCAUGGAAUAAUAGAAUAAGGACGUGCGGUUCUAUUUUGUUGGUUUCUAGGACCGCCGUAAUGAUUAAUAAGGGACAGUCGNGGGGCAUCCAGUAUUCAAUUUGUCAAAAGGUGAAAUUCUUGGAUUAUUGAAGACUAACUACUUGCGAAGCAU